This is a non-coding RNA of Microcebus murinus (gray mouse lemur), 6501 nucleotides long. Lineage: Eukaryota; Metazoa; Chordata; Mammalia; Primates; Cheirogaleidae. The record is from RefSeq and is a predicted model, not a curated record.
UGCAGCUCAACAUCAGUUCGUGACUGUGUCAAACUUCUGCUUCUUUCCACUUCUGAAAGCAAAUCUCCAGAUGAAAGAUCUAAGAUGCGUGAGUGAAGUUUCUAGGUAUUUUCAUAAAAAAGGGAAUAAAUCUCCAACCGAGCUAAGACUACAAUAGGUGAUCAGAACCAUGGCAUUGUUUCUGGACAAUUUUUAUAAUCCUUAUCUGCAGAUCCCCCUAGAAUCUGAGUUUCUAGGGGAAAAAGAAUUGUUCUCAUCCCCAGGACCUGACACAACGUACCAUACUCAGCAUAUUAGAGGAAGCUGUUGAAAACAGAAUCUGAGAUAGAAAGGGUGUUAGAGUUUCAACUCAAAAUUCUCAACAGUUUCCCCAGCAAAUCCUCUGAGUUGACUGAAGUUGACUGCAACAACUGAGAGAAAAGAACAUGGAUAUGAUAUUACAGACAUUUGUGUGAUGGAUUAGGGAGUUACAACUGCAUCAGAAAAUUCAGUAAAAAGGCAAAUCCUCUGCAAGACAUAAAACAAUGUUUCCACUGCUUUCGCUUCGGAUUCUACCCACACAGUGACAAAGCCAAAUGAAUGCCUGCUACUGCAUAUCAAAAGUCGCUCCUGAAAGAGCUUAUUAAUAUGAGAAUCACCUCCACUGAAGAAUCACCCUUUUGGUAGCAAACUCCAGAAAGUGUGAAGUCAGCAACAGGGUCCACGGCUAAGGCAGAACAAACAGAAGCAGCAAGGGAAAGGAGCAUAAAUACUUCUGGGAAGGAGGGCUGCUGAGCCCCGGAAGGCACUCCGACCUGCAGAGGAAACAAGGGAGCCUGAACAUUGGUCUCCCUCACAAGAUGGCCUCCGGGGAAAGACCAAGACAGACUGCAUCAUGUGGCACCAAAGUACCAUGUGUCCUGCUGCUGGUCAAUGGAGUGAUUAUGAAUGGAGCUGACCAUUGGAAAUACACUGGAAACCUUUAACAGAAUAUUAUAUGGACUCAUCUUUCUAGACAGCCCUUUGUAAAAAAAAAAAAACCCUGAAAACAUUCAGGGAUUGUAGGUAACACCAUCCCUUUGAAUGUGAAGUUUUCCUUUUAAAUUCAAGAAUAAGCAAGAUUGUAUCAGUUAGGAUUGCACCUACCUUUCAGGAGCAGAAAAAAAUGACUUAAAGUCAUUUAGUGGCUUAAAGUCAUAAAGCGGCUUAAAGAUACAGGGGUUUGUUUUUUUUUCACAAAGCAAGAAAUCCAGAGACAGGUGGUCACAGGGACUUUGGGGGUUGUCACUGCAUCAUAACCUAGCUUAUCCAGCCUGAUAAAGUGAGCAAACAGGAAAUGUCAGCCAGAAGGACCGAGUGGCAAAAGUAGUCUAGAACAAGGUCAAGUAUUAGAAAUCUCUGAACCACAUUUUAAUUUUAUUAGGGGGACUGUGGGUAACGUAUCUUUUUUGGAUGGGAUGUUUUCCUUUCAAAGGUCAUUAUAAAGAAGGAUUUUCACAAGGAUUCUAUUCAGCUGCAAAAAACCAGAAAGCCUGAGUUAUGGUGACUUAUGCUUAUAGUUUAUAUUUCUCACAGAGCAAAAUGCCCAGAGGUAGGCAGCCCAGGGCUGGUGUAGCAGUUCGCUGAUGUGGUCCAGGAACCACUCUUCCCUGCUCUCUGCUCUGCCACCUUUUGUGUGGAGCUCAUGCCACGAUGGCUGCGGUGCAUGCUGGGUAUUGCAUCCACCUUCCAGGCACGAAGAUGGUGUAAGAGAAAUAAAGAAUGACUAUAGCUGUAACUUUCCCUCCUUUAUCAGGGACAAAUUUCUAUUUCGGUCUCAUAGGACAGGACCGGGACUGUGUGGACCCACCUAUGAGAAAGGGAGGAUGAGAAACAGUGUAUUGGCUUGCUCAUCUCCCAAGUAGAAGAAUGAAGGGAGAAGGGUGCUGUUUGGCUACUGUGGUCACAAGUGCCGCCUGUCACAUAUGUCUAGCCCUCUCUCCUAAGGGGAACAUGUCUGCUUGCGCUUCCUGGCACCUUUGUGGAUGGGUGGGGCCCUGUAACUAGUUCUGGCCAUUGAAUUGUGGGAAUGCUUCAAACCAGAGCAUUUUAAAUACUGAUGUGAGAUCCACCCCAACCCCCAAGCUCUCUGCUUCCUGACUUGGUGACCUGCAAUGUCUGAGAUGGUGAUUGGUCCAUCAAUCUCCUGAGUGUCCAAGAGAUGUAUACCUCCCCUGUUGACUCAUGAAGGACAGGUGGCAUGAGCAAGGAAUGUAUCUCUGUGUUUGAAGCCAUGGAGAUUUUGUGGUUGUUACAGCAGUAUAACCUACCCUAUCCUGAUGGAUUCAAUGAGUCAACUUGACAUGUUAGCCAUAAGGAACACGUUUGAGAGGCAAAAGGAGUAUCAAGCAGGUCCACCUGGCAGAGAUCUCUGAACCAAGACUGACCUCUGUGGGACGAUCUCCUGAAGCCAACUUCGUCUACUUCAAGUGCAGUUAAGUGGACUUUAAUUCAUAACGUUACAGCCGUCCUUGUACUGCCCACAGGACACGGACAAAUUGUUCCUCUCCCCUGUGUCUCUAUAUAGGUGAGUGGCUAAUGAAACAUAGCGUGUUCAAGGUAAGCCACCAAAUUUAAUAUGAACUUCCAGGAUGACCAUCCAUGAAAAUUAAAUUCAGGAUAAUGAGGGAUGGCAUAGUUUAUGACAAGCCUUGUUAAUGAUAAAGUUCCCAUCUCUGCCCUUAAUUGAAAGACAAAAAAAUGGUGGGGGGAGGUGACUAAGAGUUAAAACAUUAAUGGCCUCUUCGGUUACAUUCAGUGUCUGAUUUUAUCUCUAAAUACAGUAUUUCACAUUCUCAGCAAAGUCAAUAGGAGUGCAUUCAGUAGUAACCCCAAAGCUACCAGUAUUCAAACCACCACAAUAGAGAGCAAGUCAUAUGGGAGUGGAAAGAGAGCAGCCGUAGAAUUCAAUACAAAGGAGGCGAUUGCUUGACUAGCUGUUUCAUGUUUCGCUGUUGCUCGAAUUUCAUUUUAACGACUAUCCCUGGUAUUAUCACGGGAUGGGAGAAGCUAGCUGUAUGGAUUUAUGCCCCCCAGCAAAAUGGUGCCACAACAGAUGGUAACAAAGAAUCUUACACAACACGCUCCUGUGCUAAAAAUCACGUAACAUAACUCUGGUUAGGUUUAUCUGGCUUGAAAUGUGUGCAGAGUAGAGUACGCAGCGAAGAGAACACUAACUGGUGACAAGUGUAAGGACAGUAAACAGCGACAAGUGUAAUUACUGGUGCAGUCCCUUCUAGGCGUCAUGGUCCAGUGCUCGCUUGCAAAGGGCAAAGGCUAGUUUGGAAACAGCAAGGGAAGAACAGAAGGCCAUUGUCGCAUAAUGCUACACUACCAUGGACUUUUCAAUUGCUCAUUAAAAACAGGCACAAGAUAACUAAUCUCUUCCUUUUGUAAAAUCUGAGUAUGGACUGCUUUAUUCUCCUUGAUGUGCGUAAACCUCAUUUUUUUUUGAGGUUGUCAUCUUUGUUUGAUGUGUCCAUUUUUAAAGUAAAAAUAAACAUUACAUAUUUAGGGACAUUAAUAAUAAUGGUUAUAGUUAUAGUUCCUAUUAAAGGUUUCAAUGGCUUUCCAUUCUAUCCUAGAAAACAUAAACCCUUUAAAUCUUUGAAUCAUUUAAUUUUAUGUAUUCUGUUGGUAUUCCAUUUGGGAGUUAUGGGGUGUGAAAUAUGCACCAUGAUGAGAAAACAAUUAACCAGCACACCUGUUGUUUAUGAAUAUUACGUUCUGGAAGGGCCUGCUGGAGCUAUUAUUUUAUUCCACAGCAUGGUGUCAACCAAGGGGCUAUCAAAGGUGACCUGAUGACACCAAAUUAUAUUUUUAUGUGUAUUACAUGCCUUGUGCUUUGCCCUCAUGUCAGAAUGAUACUUGCUUCUCAAAUCAAAAUCAUGCUUGUAACCCGUAAAAACAAUCAGUGGGAUUUUCAGGUUUAACAGAAAAAUUAAAGUUCAGAUUUGCUACAGAAGAAGUAAGUAGUGAUGAAAUUAUGAGAGUAGCAGAGGCAAAUGCAAUUUAAUGAGUGCCUACUAUGUCUGGGUAAAUCACACAAUUUACAGAUUAAGAAAGGGGAAAAAAUAGGACAUCCUGGGUUUUUCAUAAAGGAGAAGAAAUGUUCUUUUUGCUACCUCCCAUUAACCAGCUGUUAGUAAGGAGUUCCACUGAGUUCAACAAACCCUUUGUAAGCAUCUGCAGCGAAGUCGGUGCUGGGCAAGGCAUGAAUGGUAAGGCAAGAGAGGAGGUGGAGGGAGAGAAAGCACAUGUAUUUUGGGGCAAACUGACACUGUGGGUACCCACUGAGCUGCUGACACUGGAAACAGGAGGAGAAGAGACUGCUUUGCAUGAGUCAGAGGAAGACCACAUAGCAAGGGCGGGAAAUGCCACGGGUGUCAGCUGUUCAGGUGGCAACAGAUGUGGAGGUACAGUCAUAAAAACCAUUGGCAACAGUUAAAACAACUGGGCAUUUACUGUGUGACAGACCUGACCCAAGUUCUUAUGUGUUAUUUCAUCCUCAUGACUUCUCUAUGGCGUGGAUAUAUUAUUAGCUCAUUUUACAGAUGAGGAAAUCGAGGCAGAAAAGGGUAAAAUACCUUGUUCAAGUUAAAAACCUAGACAGUCUGGCUCUACAGGAGUGUGUGCCCUUAACCUCUAUGCUACUCAACAAGAAGUAGUUACAAUCAUGCUAAAAGGUCCACAGCCUUCUAUACUGUCUGUGUUUUUUCAUGGCCUUGAUUUUCUUUUUACCGAUUCUUUUCUUUGAAUAAGGGCCCCUAAGACAGACAGGUCUAAAUGGAUUUCAGCUGAGUUGAUAGAUUUGCUGGAGCUGCUACCUGGGUUUUUCAAAGCUGGUACGGGCCAACAGUUGACCUGCUGGUGGUCCUCCGGGAAAGUGUAAUGGUAUGAUAGGUAAGACACUGGCUUUGAAGUCAGACUCAAGUUCAAACGCAAGCUGUGUGACCUUGUUUAUUCAUUUGUAAAACAGAGAUCAUAUUUCCCUAUUGCAUUUUCAUGAUAAGUGGAGAUACUGCAGGUGAGGCACGCGGUAAGAGGAGCCCUCACCAUAUGCCCCAUCUACUGGCACCUAGAUCUUGGGCUUUCCAGCUUCUAGAACUGUGAGAAAAUAAAUUUCUAUUGUUUAUAGAUGACCGGGUCUGUGGUAUUCUGUUCCAGCAGCAGGAAUGGGACUAAGGCAGGCACUUAAAGUGGUGUGUGGAUCAAGACAGUGCGCAAGAAAUAGUUAUUAUCAUCACGGGUCACCUCACAGUGCACAUGCGACUCUCUCAGGUGACCCCUCUAACAGCUUUCCACAGAACUAGGUGCUCAGCACAGGGCAUGGAGAGGCAGGUGGGUACUGCUGGCAUUUUCCUAUCCGGCCUUCCUUGGGAGCCCUGCCUCUGGCUAUUAGUCUAUGACAGGACUAUCACCGUGGUUUCCUGCAAUACAGUGGUGUCAUCUCAGCUGUCAGCUGGGAGACUCAGUGUCUUGCAAAGAAAAUGGGGCUGGGAUACACAGUUAACUAGCAGCCAGAGGGAAGUGCUUAUGAAUAUUCUUUUACAAUAACUAAAACUAUAACAAUGUCAGCUCGACAAACGAAGAAAAUGUCAGUCAUAUUUUACUUAUUGAAUAUUACUAAUGGGUACGAUGCAAUUAGUUUAAAUUUAUGUAAACGGCAAUGUAAACGACAUGGCCUUUGCCGUGAAAUAAAGUUUGAAUCCUAGGCUUGUUAGCUGGGUGCCUUGGGGAAAGCUUGAAGCUCCUUCGGUAUCUAGAAGAUGGGGGCAACAAUGCCCACCUCAUGGAGCUUAGGGGAAAUAAAUGAAAUAAUUUAUAAAAAGCAUCAUCCCCGUCCCACGGGAGAUACUCAAUAAGUGGUAGGUGUUAUUAUUAUUUACAACAGCGAUUUGCAAACCACAGCCUGCAGGCCAAAUCCCUGUUUGUUUGUUUGUUUUUCCAAACUUUCCAUAAUAGUUCUUAAUUUCAAAAGUAUAAGUCCAUCAUCCCAUAAUAUACUCAUUAAUAUGAGAGUAAAAUUCUUGCUUUGAUAGCCUGUACUAAAUGGGAGUUAAGAGAAGGAACAUGGAGCCAGGCUGCUGGAAUUCAAAUACAGCUCACCUUACAUGAAGGUUGUGUAACCUCAUGCAUGUUAAGUGAACUCUCUGUGUCUCAGUUUCCCUAAUUUUAAAUAGAGGAUGGUAAUCAUCAAAUCUUCCUCAGUGGACUGUGCUAAGAGUAAAAUGAUUUGACAGCUAUAAAACUUUCCAAUGUCUGACACAUCAUUGAGUACUAGCUAGGUAAGUAUUGCUGUUGUUACUAUUUAUGGUUCAGGCAACGUGGAAUGUCUGUCCUGAAAUUAUAUCUACACAGGCAAAUAAAAGGGAAGGCUAAGUAGUGCUAUCAAAAAUAGACUGUCAAAGAAAUGUAGUUAUAGUGACUUAGUGACAUCUAGAUGAAGAAAUGGACACCCAAAGAGAUAAUGUAUUUUUUUUU